RNAcentral lists this ribosomal RNA (460 nucleotides) under uncultured bacterium. RNAcentral describes it as "partial 16S ribosomal RNA". It matches the Rfam family "Bacterial small subunit ribosomal RNA", at positions 338 to 795 of the family's 1533-position model. The record is from RNAcentral.
CCUACGGGCGACAGCAGUGAGGAAUAUUGGUCAAUGGACGCAAGUCUGAACCAGCCAUGCCGCGUGAAGGAAGACGGCUCUAUGGGUUGUAAACUGCUUUUGUACGAGGGUAAACGCAUAUACGCGUAUCUGUCUGAAAGUACCGUACGAAUAAGGAUCGGCUAACUCCGUGCCAGCAGCCGCGGUAAUACGGAGGAUUCAAGCGUUAUCCGGAUUUAUUGGGGUUAAAGGGUGCGUAGGCGGUAGGAUAAGUUAGAUGUGAAAUCCCGAGGCUCAACUUCGGAAUUGCCUAUGAUACUGUUAGGCUAGAGUGUAGUAGCGGUAGGCGGAAUGUAUGGUGUAGCGGUGAAAUGCUUAGAGAUCAUACAGAACACCGAUUGCGAAGGCAGGUUACUAGGCUACUUCUGACGUUGAGGCACGAAAGCGUGGGGAGCAAACAGGAUUAGAUACCCCUGUAGUC